GCCCGGAUGGUGAAAUUGGCAAACACGCAAGAUUCAGGUUCUUGUGUCCGCUAGGACUUGCGGGUUCAAGUCCCGCUUCGGGCA
Molecule: transfer RNA, 84 nt
Filed under: Candidatus Rifleibacteriota bacterium
Lineage: Bacteria; Candidatus Rifleibacteriota
Description: tRNA-Leu
Rfam family: tRNA
About the family: Transfer RNA (tRNA) molecules are approximately 80 nucleotides in length.
Source: RNAcentral